GACGAACGCUGGCGGCGUGCUUAACACAUGCAAGUCGAACGGAAAGGCCCUGCUUUUGUGGGGUGCUCGAGUGGCGAACGGGUGAGUAACACGUGAGUAACCUGUCCUUGACUUUGGGAUAACUUCAGGAAACUGGGGCUAAUACCGGAUAGGAGCUCCUGCUGCAUGGUGGGGGUUGGAAAGUUUCGGCGGUUGGGGAUGGACUCGCGGCUUAUCAGCUUGUUGGUGGGGUAGUGGCUUACCAAGGCUUUGACGGGUAGCCGGCCUGAGAGGGUGACCGGCCACAUUGGGACUGAGAUACGGCCCAGACUCCUACGGGAGGCAGCAGUGGGGAAUAUUGCACAAUGGGCGGAAGCCUGAUGCAGCAACACCGCGUGCGGGAUGACGGCCUUCGGGUUGUAAACCGCUUUCGCCUGUGACGAAGCGUGAGUGACGGUAAUGGGUAAAGAAGCACCGGCUAACUACGUG
This 468-nucleotide ribosomal RNA is filed under the name uncultured bacterium. Its description in RNAcentral is "partial 16S ribosomal RNA". It matches the Rfam family "Bacterial small subunit ribosomal RNA", at positions 28 to 507 of the family's 1533-position model. The record is from RNAcentral.